ACUGCUCAGUAACACGUGGAUAACCUGCCCAAGGGUCCGGGAUAACCCCGGGAAACUGGGGAUAAUACCGGAUGGAUCACUUAUGCUGGAAUGCUUGGUGGUCGAAAGGUGACGCCCUUGGAUGGGUCUGCGGCGGAUUAGGUUGACGCCGGUGUAACGUACCGGCGUGCCUGUAAUCCGUACGGGUUGUGGGAGCAAGAGCCCGGAGAUGGAUUCUGAGACACGAAUCCAGGCCCUACGGGGCGCAGCAGGCGCGAAAACUCUACAAUGCAGGCAACUGCGAUAGGGGGACAUCGAGUGGCAUCCACCUUGGGUGCCUGUCCCACCGUCUAAAAAACGGUGGUUAGCAAGGGCCGGGCAAGACCGGUGCCAGCCGCCGCGGUAAUACCGGCGGCUCGAGUGGCGGCCGAUAUUAUUGAGUCUAAAGGGUCCGUAGCCGGCUUUGCAAGUCCCCUGGGAAAUCCAGCGGCUUAACCGUUGGGCUUUCAUGGGAUACUACAUUGCUUGGGACUGGGAGAGGUAGGAGGUACUCGGGGGGUAGGGGUGAAAUCCUGUAAUCCCCCGGGGACCACCGGUGGCGAAGGCGUCCUACCAGAACAGGUCCGACGGUGAGGGACGAAAGCUAGGGGCACGAACCGGAUUAGAUACCCGGGUAGUCCUAGCCGUAAACGAUGCCCGCUAGGUGUCACGGCGGUCGUGAAUCGCCGUGGUGCCGUAGGGAAGCCGCGAAGCGGGCCACUUGGGAAGUACGGCCGCAAGGCUGAAACUUAAAGGAAUUGGCGGGGGAGCAC
RNAcentral lists this ribosomal RNA (791 nucleotides) under uncultured Methanosarcinaceae archaeon. RNAcentral describes it as "bacterial SSU rRNA". It matches the Rfam family "Archaeal small subunit ribosomal RNA", at positions 85 to 879 of the family's 1478-position model. The record is from RNAcentral. Lineage: Archaea; Methanobacteriati; Methanobacteriota; Methanomicrobia; Methanosarcinales; Methanosarcinaceae.